RNAcentral lists this microRNA (23 nucleotides) under Python bivittatus (Burmese python). Its description in RNAcentral is "pbv-miR-130c-5p". Its record names the gene pbv-miR-130c-5p. The record is from miRBase by way of RNAcentral. Lineage: Eukaryota; Metazoa; Chordata; Lepidosauria; Squamata; Pythonidae.
UGCCCUUUUUCUGUUGUACUACU